ACGCUCGACACCUACGGGAGCAGCAGUGGGGAAUAUUGCACAAUGGGGGAAACCCUGAUGCAGCGACGCCGCGUGAAGGAAGAAGUAUCUCGGUAUGUAAACUUCUAUCANCAGGGAAGAAAGUGACGGUACCUGACUAAGAAGCCCCGGCUAACUACGUACCAGCAGCCGCGGUAAUCUGAGCGGGCUGGCAAGGC
This 197-nucleotide ribosomal RNA is filed under the name uncultured bacterium. Its description in RNAcentral is "partial 16S ribosomal RNA". It matches the Rfam family "Bacterial small subunit ribosomal RNA", at positions 328 to 539 of the family's 1533-position model. The record is from RNAcentral.